CAGUAGCCGCGGGAAUACAGAGGGUGCGAGCGUUAAUCGGAUUUACUGGGCGUAAAGCGUGCGUAGGCGGCUUCUUAAGUCGGAUGUGAAAUCCCUGAGCUUAACUUAGGAAUUGCAUUCGAUACUGGGAAGCUAGAGUAUGGGAGAGGAUGGUAGAAUUCCAGGUGUAGCGGUGAAAUGCGUAGAGAUCUGGAGGAAUACCGAUGGCGAAGGCAGCCAUCUGGCCUAUACUGACGCUGAGGUACGAAAGCAUGGGGAGCAAACAGGAUUAGAUACCCCCGUAGUCCCUGUCUCUUAUACA
This 301-nucleotide ribosomal RNA is filed under the name uncultured bacterium. RNAcentral describes it as "partial 16S ribosomal RNA". It matches the Rfam family "Bacterial small subunit ribosomal RNA", at positions 509 to 808 of the family's 1533-position model. The record is from RNAcentral.